GUCUAUGGCCAUACCACCCUGAACACACCCGACCUUAUCUGAUCUUGGAAGCUCGACAGGGUCAGGCCUGAUUAAUACUUGGAUGGGAAA
This 90-nucleotide ribosomal RNA is filed under the name Homo sapiens (human). Lineage: Eukaryota; Metazoa; Chordata; Mammalia; Primates; Hominidae. The record is from RNAcentral.